GUUGGWUYUACCCGAAGACGGUGCGCUAACCCGCAAGGGAGGCAGCCGGCCACGGUARGGUCAGCGACUGGGGUGAAGUCGUAACAAGGUAGCCGUAGGUGAACCUGCAGAAGGAUCA
RNAcentral lists this ribosomal RNA (118 nucleotides) under uncultured eukaryote. RNAcentral's name for it is "partial small subunit ribosomal RNA". The record is from RNAcentral.